UGCACUCACUACUGUAAGUCGCUCUGGAUAAGAGUGUCUGCUAAAUAACUAAAA
Non-coding RNA from Salmo salar (Atlantic salmon), 54 nucleotides. The record is from Rfam. Lineage: Eukaryota; Metazoa; Chordata; Actinopteri; Salmoniformes; Salmonidae.